Cavia porcellus (domestic guinea pig) is the source of this 6699-nucleotide RNA transcript. It is a transcript of the gene named LYR motif containing 7, with no coding region annotated. The record is from RefSeq and is a predicted model, not a curated record. The transcript has 6 exons. Lineage: Eukaryota; Metazoa; Chordata; Mammalia; Rodentia; Caviidae.
UCGGGGGUAGACGUCAGUGCCUGGAUGUGAUUGGUUGUUAAGAGGCGGGGCGACUUGACCGAUAGAGAGGUGGCAGGCGCCACGCAGAGAGCCAUGGGUCAGGCGGCCAAGGUUUUACAGCUCUUUAAAACACUGCACAGGACCAGACAGCAAGUUUUUAAGAAUGAUGCCAGAGCUUUAGAAGCAGCCAGAAUAAAGAUUAAUGAAGAAUUCAAAAGUCAUAAAAGCGAGGCUUCUCCUAAGAAAAUAGAAGAGCUCAUGAAAAUAGGUUCCGACGUUGAACUGUUACUCAGAACAUCUGUCAUACAGGGCAUUCACACCGACCACAACACACUGCGCUCUUGCCAAGUUGCUGGCCUGGGCUUAAACUAUUCCUCCUGCCUCACCCUCCCAGAAUAUUGGGGUUACAGGCGUGUGCCACAACACCUGGCCACGACGACCUGAUGGCAGCAGAAGAGAAGCAGCGUUCCUUGUGGUCAAGGAUCACACGCUGAGUGUGAGGAUCACACACUGGAAUUGGUCCCUAGGAAAGACCUUCUUGUAGAAAAUGUGCCAUAUUGUGAUGUACCAACUCAGAAGCAGUGAAUGUUUUAAGCUAAGACAAGUCUUCGCACUUUUUAAUUUUAGAAAUGGAACUCUCGCAAAAGUCCUGAAAUGCAGAUGCUUCUCUGAACUGGCAUACUGGGCGUGAGUGACUGAGACAAUAAGUGUCGUGGUUAAAUUUUACACUAAAAGAACAUCGCGGUGAAGGGGUGAAGGUUAAGCGUUGUUAACAACAAGUGAAACAAUUCUUUCUCAUUGAAACCCUAGCUUUAUAAAGUGAGGAAGUGCUCGGGGUGCAGCAUGCUGCCUUCUCUAAGGUCUGGAUACGUGUUCUGUCCUUUUUAGCUGUUUGGGAGCAGUGUGUGACAGGGUGGUGAGUUUUCUUCCCAUGGAAAAUGCAGUUAUUAGAUUAAACUGAAAUUUAGCCUCUAAAACAUUAAAUGGUUAGAAAAUCAUAGUGUAUGCUAGCUCUCCACAAAACAUCUGUUGUUUGCUAAAACAGGAAUUAUUUCUGUAGCUUGUGAAUAAUUACAGUUUCCUUUUAGAGAUAGAGCAUGUCUCUGUGUUCUUAUGAAGGUAUAUAUAUUUCCUUUUUUUCUCUCUUCCUCUUGGUACUGGGAAUCCACUUUUGGACCUUGUGUUUGCCAGGCAGGUGCUGCACAGCCGAGGUGCAUCCCUGAUCCAUGAGCUCUCCCUGGCCUGAUAUUUCUAAUCAGUCUUCUGAAAAUAGGUCAAUAAAAUAGAACCACCUAGAUUCACAAUGGAAUAAAGAAAUCUUAAUUUUUUUAGGAAACUGUGGCCUUUGAUCAGUUAUGAUGGCCUUAGUAGACUUGGCUGUAUCUAGACCAGUUAGAGUUUAUUGUGAAAAGGUAAGGGAUGUAUGGUGGCACACACAUCAUCCCAGCGCUCGGGAGGCUGAGAAGGAGGAUCUUUGAGAGUUUGAGGCCAGCCUGAACUGCAUAGAGACACCCUGUCUCAAAAAGACAAAAAGUAAAGGAUAGCUUCAUUCUCUUCAAGUUAGUCAAUGAAAUUUAAAUGGCUUCUACAUGUCUGUUCUCCAGUGAAAUUGGCAGUGUUAUGAAAAGGCUCGACGUUGGCUCCUCUACUGAUAGGAGAUAUGAGUUAUACAUGAUAUUCUUCUUCCUCUUUGUCUGUGUAUCUUUACCACUCCGCUUGCUCAUAAAUAGUAUGUUGUUCCAUUCACUUAGGAGUUUUCUGUAUUUGAUGAUGAUACAGUGUUUCCAAGUUUUGCAAGAUUUUCAGUGUAAGCUUUGUGAAUUUGUCUGUUGGCAAAGCACCUUGGUAUAGCCACACUGGAUAUAAAAUGUCACGUCUGAAAAUGGUUUUAGCAGGUCCAAAUAUGAUCAGAAUCACUCAGAGCUAGUACAUUUAUCAUUAGACAGAAGGCUAACCUUCAUGUCUCCUGAUCACUUUUAAGGAGAUCAGUUCCUGUUCUGUGAAGUGCAGUACACAUGUCCAGCAGAGAUUUCUCUAAAUACUUCUUCAUCUCCUGUGUAUAUAGUUUCUUGCUAUGUAUAUAGAAAUCAUACCCAGAGGAAAAUGAAAGUUGUCGCAGAUUUUAAAUUAACACUUUGGAGAAUGCUAAGACUUAUCACAGCAUAGUCCCUACAUAGAUAGAACUGUGUUGUUGUUUUUUUUUUUUUUAGACAGAGCCUUGCUGUGUAGAUCAGGCUGCUGGCCUGGACUCACUGUGUAGCCCAGGUCCCAGGCUGGCCUUGAACUUGAAGGGACCCUCCUAAGUGCUGGGAUUAUAGGCAUGGUGACACACGCCUGGCAUCACAUGUAUAUUUUAUUAGAGCUUAUGAGUUAGAGAUUUUCCAUGAGAUAUGCAGGUAGAGAUAGAUAAACAAAGGCCACAUUGUGUUUUCAUGCCUUCAAGUUACGCAGUAGGUUUCUGCGAAGAACAGUAGACCUGUCACAAAAUUUUGGAAAAUGUGGUACCCUUUCCUCAUACAGCCUAUAUGCGUAUUUCAGAUGACUUCUAAUUAGUUAUUUUAUGAUGUAACCAGAAAAGUCAUUUUUUGAAUUCUUGGCAUUUUGCAAAAUGACAGUUGAGAGUUGAUAUUCUAGAGCAUAAGCUACUGCAGCUAUCCAGGGCUUAUUUUGAGCAUGACAGUAAACUAGAUACCUAACUUCUCUUGUUCAGUGCCAGCAUUUAACUAAACCUUUUAGUUAAAAAAAACAAACAGUUGUUCAUAUUCCCAUAGGAGUUACCCAAAUCGAACGUUCCAUUUAACUGUUGGAUCCAGUGAAAGUUGGGUGUACGCAUUGUUACCACUGCAGAUUCCUGCUCAGAGGCCCGCAGACUGUGUAAAAGUCUUCCAGCCCAGGUUAGACGUCUGUCUGUGUGACCAAGCACUGGGUCUGGCAAGGAUAUGGAAGGAAGAGACCGCACUGAGUGUGUGAAUGGGGGGAAGUGACAGACACUGCAGCUUGCUGUGUCUAAGUGAGCACCUUUAGGCUGAAAUUUGAGUUAGUCAGACUUUGAACUGGUUCUUAUUUCACCCACAAUUGCAACUCUCAACAUCAGUACAGUUCAAGAUAUGGUAGAAUUUCUGUAUUCAUUGACAAGGCAAAUGAUUUUAUUCUUUUAUUAUAAAAACAUUUAAAACAAUGAUACAGAAUUUCAAAACAAAAUUAAGAUUUUAUUUUUAAGGCAAAUAAAUUUAACAGUACCACAAAGCCACAGGCCAACAAAUAGAAAGUGGCACGUUCUUGUAAUCUCAGCUACUGGUGAGGAGAUGGGGCGGGAGAACCAAAAGUUGAGGCCAGCCUGGGCAACUUAGUGAGCUCCUGUGUCAAAAUAAAACCAAGUUCCCAGCACUUGGGAGGCGGAGCAGGAGGAGCACUGAGUUUGAAGCCAGCCUGGGUUACGAAGUGAGUUGAAGGCCAAUCUGAACUGCAUAGCAAGGCUAACUCAAAAAAAAAGACUUAAAAAAAUAAAUAAGCAAACAGGAAAAGGGCCAGACAUGUGGCUCAGUGGUAGACCACUUGCCAAGCAUACACAAGCCUUAGGUUCAGUCCCCGUCACGGGGAGGAAAAGAAUCUCUUGACACUGCAGCCAGCGUGGGUACAUAGUGAGUUCAGGCCCAGCCAGAACUGCAAAGUGAGUCUGUCUCAAAAAACAAAACAAGAAAAAUAAACAACCAAAUUUAAUCUAUUGAAACCCGGUGAUUAAUAUUCCUGCAUAAAAAAUAAUGUGUUUUGUGAAAAACCACUAUAUAUGAAGUGUAGAGAAAAUUACUUGCCUCUAAUGUAAUUAUUAAAAUAGUUAAGAUAUAAGGUGCUUCUGUGAAUCAGUUAAUAAAACAACUCAGUGGAAAAUGGGAAAAUUAUAUGCUUUAAGAAAUUCACAGAAGAGUUACUAACCUCUCGUGGUCAGAGAAAUGUAAAUUAAAAAGAUACUUUCAUUCAAACUGUUACAAAUACAAAUUAUUGUAUUCAAUAAUUUGUAAAGGUUGAAAUGUCAGUUUUUAAAGAAAUAGAAAUUACAAGGCUAUUUGGAAAGGAAAAUUAACUAUCAAAAUUUUAAAAAUGUAUAUUCAGUCCAUUUCUCAGCUCAAAAGUAUACUACUUUUGUGUACUGAAAUGUAUGUUCAGAAGUUUCUGUAACAUUGUAAUUUUUAAAAAUGAAAAACAGCUGGGUAUGGUGGCAUGACUGUAAUCUCAGCCCUCAGGAAACUGAAGCAGGAGAAUUGUUGCAAGUUUUGAGGCCAUCCAGGGAUACACAGUGAGACUGUUCAUCCAGAAAUUAAAACAAAAUAAGAUAAAAUAAAUACAGCCUGUUUCCAAAUGUAAGGGGAGUAAUUAAAAUGUAGUUCAUCUGCAUCUUGGGUAUUAUACAGAUACUGAAAAGAGUGAUUUUCUAAGUACAGGCUUUCAAGUGGAGGAAGCUGGUCACAGUAUGGGUUCACUCCACCCACAGGUACAGAGCUGCUCAUGUAUGUGUCUGAAUGUGUACAUACAGGUGCACAGAAGUGGCACACGCUGAGUGCUAGCCUUUAGUUAGGGAGGAAAAUGAGAUCAGAGGAGGAAGUGUGAGCUGAGGGCUUGUGUUCUCAUUCACUUUCUAUUUAAAUAAAUGUCAUUCACAGCCCUGAGCAUUAGCUUUGUGGUGCGUCACUGGACUAGCAUGCAUGAGGGCCAGGGUUUAAACCCAGCACCACAAAAUACAAGUAGACACAUACCUACUGUUUUUAGUGAGUGUAUCAACAUACAGGUUUAAAGGAUGAUUUCUAAGCUGCUAGUGAUUUUUAAUUUAAAAUUGAUAAUCAAAUAUUAGCAAAUAAUAUGAUACUCAUGAAUUCUCACAUGUUACAUUUCCUACAUUUCUUUCAAGACCUUUUUUGUUUUUUGUUUUUUGUUUUUAAUCAGUACCGGGGAUUGAACUCGCGACUGCACACUUGUAAGGCAGGCGCUUAUGCCGUUGAGCUAAAUCCCCAGCCCUGUUUUGUUUUUUGAGACAGGGUUUCACUAUAUAAUUCAGGCUGACUUUGAACUCACUAUAUAGUGCAGGCUGACUUUGAACUCACUAUAUAGUGCAGGCUGCUUUGAACUUGCUGUGAUCCUUCUGCCUCAGCCUCCUGAGUGCUGGGAUUAUAGGAAUGUGCCACCAUGCCUGGCUUUAAAGAUAUUUCUAAAAAGUCGUAAUUUUUUUCUUUCGGUGGCACUGGGCAUCAAACCUACAACCCCACACAUGCUAGGCAAGAGUUACACUGAGCUGUACUUUCAGCCCGCAUCAUAAAAUCUUUUUUUUUUUUUUUUUGGUACUGGGGAUCAAACUCACAACUUUAUGCUUGCCAGGUGGGUGCUUAUGCCAAUAAAAUCUUACAAAUCUAAAGACUAGCCCUCCUUUUCUCCUCUAGAGGGAUCAUCAUUGUUUGCAAUUUGUGCAUUUCAUUCACAUACAUGUUUUUUACUUUUAUCAAACACUUAUGUUUUUAAAAAUCUUCUUUUGUGGUCUUAAAAUGUACAAGAGCAGUAUGAUACCUUAUGUAUUAUUCUGCAGUUCACAAUAGAUUUUGAGGAUUUACCUGUAUUGUUGCAUGAACAGCUAUUCUAUUGUAAGAAUAAAUUGAUUUGUUUGUACAUGUCUCUAUUAUAGUGGGUUUUUUUCCCUGUAUUAUGAGCCUGUUUGCAAAAAAUCUUCAACAGAGCCUGCUUGCUGGCACACGCCUCUAAUCCCAGCACUUUGCAAGGCUGAGGUAGGAGAAUUUUAAGUUCGAGCUCAUCCUGGCGACUGCAUGAUUUAAUAUAGUCCAGGUUUAGCAGGGAAACGAUUUAAUACAGGAUACAUAAUUUAUAAGGUUAUUGUAAAAUAUUCUUCCAAAGAGCCAAAUGUAAAAGAGUGCAGGAAAUCUGUCCACAGCACUGAGACCCAGAGAAUCCAGUAGGGGACCUGGAGCCCAUGACAGUGUCCUGCCCAAGUCCAGCUGAAGACCUAGAGCCCACAACGAUGUCCCAUGCAAGUCUGUAUCAAGGAUCUGCACUGCAAAGGCCCAAGGGUCCCGGUGGAAGCUAGAAAAACUGCGCCAGCGGGAGGAUCUGUGCAGCAGCUGAGGGGGCUGCGGUGUAGCCGGGAAACGAUGCUCAGCAAGGACCAGAGCUCCUUUGCGGAGGACCACGGCCAUCCUCAGCAACAAAAAGGGGGAGAUGUAGAAGCCAUUGUAAUGUAGAAAAAAUUUUAAAACAUACUUCUGGUACUAAGCGUAUUUCUAACACUGUUCAAAGGUGAGACCCAGAGACACUGCCUGUUCCCAUGCUUAGGAAGCUACCAACUUGAACUUUGAUGCUCUGUGUGCCAACUUCGAGAUAAGUGUAGCUCGGCCAGGAAGGAAUGUUUCUCUUGCUUCCGAGUCCCAGAGAGUGACCACUGCAAGGACACCUCUGCCCGGUCUCAGUUUCGGAUUCUCCCCUUCUGUUGCACGACAGUAACCUCAUUUAGUUGCUGUUUCUGUAGGAGCGAAUUCUGCCCAGCAAUUAAUGAUAAAAGGGUAACCAACUGCAGGAUAUUAUGUAUCUGCCUUUUGUACUUCCUUUUGGAAACAUAAAUGACAGGAAACCUCCCAUCACUGCUGAUGAUUUGGAACUGAGGUUCCCCAUGGCCCGCUAGCAUAAUAAAGCUGCCUUCUCACA